RNAcentral lists this ribosomal RNA (329 nucleotides) under uncultured eukaryote. Its description in RNAcentral is "partial 18S ribosomal RNA". It matches the Rfam family "Eukaryotic small subunit ribosomal RNA", at positions 1470 to 1796 of the family's 1831-position model. The record is from RNAcentral.
CCCUUAGAUGUUCGGGGCCGCACGCGCGCUACACUGAAGGACUCAGCGUGUCUCUCCCCCUAUCCCGAAAGGGAUGGGCAACCCGUUGAACCUCCUUCGUGCUAGGGAUUGGGGUUUGCAAUUAUCCCCCAUGAACGAGGAAUUCCCAGUAAGCGCGAGUCAUCAGCUCGCGUUGAUUACGUCCCUGCCCUUUGUACACACCGCCCGUCGCUACUACCGAUUGGAUGGUCCGGUGAAGCCUCGGGAUUGUGGUUCUUGCCGCUUUAUUGUGGCGUGACCGCGAGAACUUGUCUAAACCUUAUCAUCUAGAGGAAGGUGAAGUCGUAACA